UACAGAGGGUGCAAGCGUUAAUCGGAAUUACUGGGCGUAAAGCGCAUGUAGGUGGAUGAACAAGUUUGAUGUGAAAGCCCCAGGCUUAACCUGGGAAUGGCGUUGAAGACUGUUGGUCUAGAGUUUGACAGAGGGCUGUGGAAUUUCCGGUGUAGCGGUGAAAUGCGUAGAGAUCGGAAAGAACACCAGUGGCGAAGGCGGCAGCCUGGGUCAAAACUGACACUGAGGUGCGAAAGCGUGGGGAGCAAACAGG
Molecule: ribosomal RNA, 253 nt
Filed under: uncultured bacterium
Lineage: Bacteria
Description: partial 16S ribosomal RNA
Rfam family: Bacterial small subunit ribosomal RNA
Source: RNAcentral